UGAAAAUUAUUUAAUAUUUAAGUUGAAAUAUUGCUUCCCCCCACCCUUUUUUUUUCCUCUUGUGAAUUUUUUUUUUUAUUAUCAAUUAAAUAAAUAAAACAAAAGACAUUUUGCAAAGGAAAACGAUAAGGCAGAACAAAGAUGGAGUAAAAUCCUGAUUCUAAGGAAACUGAUGAUGAGUUGACAACAUUAGCAGCAACUGAUCUGUUGGAGAGGACAUAGAAGAGCUUGGUAUUAAGUUCAUUGAUUGUGAGAAGUGAGGAAUCUGUUUUGGUUCCUUACUUCUUGUCUCAGGGCAGUUGAAGGUUAUCAGACUCCACCUAGAACUCUCCAAUAUAGUUUAAUUAGUCUAGGAAGUAAACUGGCAGUGUUGCUAAAUUGACAGAUGAAUUCAGUUCUGACCAAGAUCAACUUAGCUUUUAAUCUUUCCGGAAAGGAUAAAUGAAAUGCCAGUCUCAGGAUUUACACUGGCAGAAUCAUUAGGGUGUCAGACAGGAUGUGUUGCUGUAAUUUUACAGCUCUUUCCGUUCUGAGUUCAAAUCUUGUCAUGGCUUACUUGGAUGGUAGACUUAAUCCAGUGCACAGAUUAACACCACUACCUGGUCCACUGGUGCCUUUAACGGGGUCCACUCUGUUUCAAGCAUUAGGGCCAGAUUUCCAGGUUAAAGAUACCUUCCUCUCUCCUUACUUUGUAAGGGAUCUUAAGCACUGCCUUUUCUCUUAAGGAUAAGUGAAAGAUGUUGCUAAGUCAUAAUUAGUGAAGUCAAGGGUAAUUUAAGCUAGCAGCCAAAGUGCUCAACAGUUUGCAUAAUUUCACCAGCACAGCAUUGUAAAUGAGAUCAUGACAAUUUUAUUCUUGAAUUGUCCAGUUCACCUAGCUCUAAGAACCAUGUGUGGUAAAAUAUACUGUUGUGAGCAGUAAGAUGACAAAGUAAUUUUGAAGUGUUUUGUUAGCUUACAGUAUUAAGUUUAACUCCUAUGAUCAUAGUUUAACAAGGGAUACUCUACUUGUACUUACCCCUUACAUAAAGACAGUUUCCAAACUAUGCAUUUAUGAGCACAGUGGGUUAUGGUAUUCACACUUACAUUAAUAGAGCUGCCUCAAUAUCCAUGUGUGUGGAUGUAUAUGUUUAUAUGCAUGAAUGAGUGAGUAGUGAAUACAAUUCCAUUUAUUUUGCCAUUGGUCUAUUGACAAAUGUUUUGGAUUGAAGAAAAAAAUAAGUCAAGGUUUACAAAUAUGUAACUGAAGUCUUCCUGAUACAGAAAAAAAACAAAAAACAGAAAGUACAAUUUAAAUUAAUUCCAGUUAUAUUCAGGAACAAUAAAGGAACAUGUGAAUAAACUUUUGUUUU
Long non-coding RNA from Octopus sinensis (East Asian common octopus), 1352 nucleotides. RefSeq lists it as uncharacterized. Lineage: Eukaryota; Metazoa; Mollusca; Cephalopoda; Octopoda; Octopodidae. The transcript has 2 exons. The record is from RefSeq and is a predicted model, not a curated record.